Onychostoma macrolepis is the source of this 2447-nucleotide RNA transcript. It is a transcript of the gene named phosphoribosyl transferase domain containing 1b, with no coding region annotated. NCBI's taxonomy places the organism in Eukaryota, Metazoa, Chordata, Actinopteri, Cypriniformes, Cyprinidae. The record is from RefSeq and is a predicted model, not a curated record. The transcript has 10 exons.
UGAGUCUAGUGACACCCAUCCUGUGCGCUGCCGGUGACGUCAUGGCGGGUGUCGUCAUCAGCAGCACUACAGACGAGCACGCGAGAAGAGUUCGAUUCAUUCGUGGUUUUUGGAUCAACGAGCUGAAAGAAUCCAACAUGGCAGGACGGGAACAAGAAUGCAAACAAACAGACGCGGAUAAAGGAAUAGUGAUCCCAGAUGACUGGCCCGGUUACCCGCUGGACCUGUUCUCUUUUCCCGAGCAUUACUCCGAGGAUCUGGAGUGCGUCUACAUCCCACACGGUGUUAUCAUGGACAGGACAGAGAGACUGGCCAGAAAUAUCAUGGAUGAUCUUGGCGAUCAUGACAUCGUGGUGCUGUGCGUGCUGAAGGGAGGUUAUCAGUUCUGCGCUGACCUGGUGGACUGCAUCAAAGUCCUGUGCCGAAACUCCAACAAGACCCUUCCCAUGAGGGUGGACUUCAUCCGGCUCAAGAGCUACCUGAAUGACCAGUCAACUCAAGUUCUUCACAUAGAAGGAGCAGAGAACCUGUCUGCGCUGAGUGGAAAGAACGUCCUGAUUGUGGAGGCCAUCGUGGACACAGGAAAGACAAUGAAGACUCUGCUGGAUCACGUUGAAGCCUUCAGGCCCAAGAUGAUCAAAGUAGCUGGUUUGCUGGUGAAACAGGUGCCCAGUGGGACAGGAUAUCUGCCAGACUAUGUUGGAUUUGAGAUCCCCAAUCGUUUUGUGGUCGGCUAUGCCCUGGAUUACAACGAAUACUUCAGAGAUCUCAAUACGAAGGACUCGCCCCGUGUGUCUACAUAUUCACAGUCUGGACGCGACAACUGGUGUGAGAUCAGCGGCUCGAGAAACAUAUGCAGAACUUCUCAUUGAAGCAGAAGCGAGUUUGUUUGCUAGAACUGCAGUGACGUAUUACUGCGCCGAGCCUGUAAUGUCUACCCAAAGCGUGAAAUGACAGACAGCAUUAGCACUGCGAGAAUUAGGGAAGAAGAGUCUCUCUGCAGCUGCACAGCUGCACAGUUGUCCAUUUGUCUCCAUUUGGAGGCCCGGUUGCUAGGGCACAUCUGUGUGAUCAGUGACAGAGGGAAACAGAAAUACAAGAUCUGAAGAAGAUGAUCUCACUCAUAUACAAGCUUCUGAAGGUUCACUGGAGGAUCAAAAGAAGGUCUCCUGUUCUCCUCCUUGCGUUCGAUAUGGACCGGUUUCCCCGGUUAAAAAUGAAGUACUGGGUUACAACUUCACACAUGUGCCCUAUGCAUGCAGUAGUAAGCAGAAAUAGCAUACUAACUACUACUCUCACUGUAAUAUAUAUGUUAGUAUGCUAUUUAGAUAUUAAAGGAUAGUUGACCAGAAGAUUUAUAGGUUUGGAACGAUGAUGAAUGAUAACAAAAUUAACAUUUUUGAGUGAACUGUCCCUUUAAGACUUAAGUGUGUCUCAUUUUAACAAGUGGCCAUCAUAAUAGGGUGUUGUUACAAUGCAAAUAUGAAUUGUGUUCCAUUCAAUAAUGGAAAGCUGUUUACUUCUACUGUUAAUUAAUAAUACACUGAAUAUUCACCAGCAGAAGCUAUAAUAUGUGAACUACAACUUAAGAAACUGUUAACCAACUUUUAUGGAAGUUUACAUUUAUGUGAAUUUUAUACAUUUUAUAAUAUUUCCAUGUAAUGACAUUAAAAUGUUAUGCAUUUGUAUUCAUCACUUGCGUCAUUUGUAGUUGUUCUGUUUUGAACAGUAGAGAUGAAAGCCUGCUUGUUUGGUUAUGGAUGACUUUCUGUGGUAUUGUUACCUCAUAAGGCGACUCAGACAUGCCACACACCUGUACACACACACAAUGGGAUGAAGUAGAACAGAGUUUGCCUGGGUGUGUUAUGUAAGCGCGUCUGUUGCUCAUUGUUUUCUCUGGCCAGCCUCUUCUGCUCAUCUGACUGCUGCUCGUGUUCAGCGCAGGUCAAUUAUGUAGCGUGUUUCUGUCAGAUAUAUAUUGUCCAGUUUCGAGUGUAUCUGCAGUGAAAGUGCCCUUAAGUCAUGCACAACAGGUAUGACAGUAAUAUCAGGUUCAUAUUUGUCACUGUACUCUUUGGAAAACUCUGAUGUUGGCUUGACAAAGCAUUGCUUGAUCUUAAAAGGCUUUGAAGUUGUAAGCUUGUAUAGACCUUAUGUCAUUUGAAUGCUUUAACUCUUUUGACCCGGAAGAGAUACGAGAUUUUUUUUUUUUUAAUUCAUAAUUUUUAUUAAAGGAACAAAACUUUUUAAAUGCUUUUUUUUUUUCAGAUUUCCUAGUUAUUUUUUAGUAGAUAGCAUUUAAAAAAAAAAAAAAAAAGUUACACGUUUCGUAUUUCAGUUCAUUUUGUACCCAAGUAUGUAUGGAGUACCAAAAGGUGUUAAACAUACUUUUAUUAAAAUGAUCUAUAAAGUUAUAUAGUCAUUUCCCCCAUAUCUCACACACUUUU